UACAGAGGUCUCAAGCGUUGUUCGGAUUCAUUGGGCGUAAAGGGUGCGUAGGCGGCGCGGUAAGUCGGAUGUGAAAUCUUGGAGCUUAACUCCGAAACUGCAUUCGAUACUGCCGUGCUUGAGGACUGGAGAGGAGACUGGAAUUUACGGUGUAGCGGUGAAAUGCGUAGAUAUCGUAAGGAAGACCAGUGGCGAAGGCGGGUCUCUGGACAGUUCCUGACGCUGAGGCAUGAAGGCCAGGGGAGCAAACGGG
This 253-nucleotide ribosomal RNA is filed under the name uncultured bacterium. RNAcentral's name for it is "partial 16S ribosomal RNA". It matches the Rfam family "Bacterial small subunit ribosomal RNA", at positions 524 to 776 of the family's 1533-position model. The record is from RNAcentral.